RNAcentral lists this RNase P RNA (344 nucleotides) under Rhodobiaceae bacterium. RNAcentral's name for it is "RNase P RNA component class A". It matches the Rfam family "Bacterial RNase P class A". Rfam says of the family: Ribonuclease P (RNase P) is a ubiquitous endoribonuclease, found in archaea, bacteria and eukarya as well as chloroplasts and mitochondria. Its best characterised activity is the generation of mature 5'-ends of tRNAs by cleaving the 5'-leader elements of precursor-tRNAs. Cellular RNase Ps are ribonucleoproteins. Lineage: Bacteria; Pseudomonadati; Pseudomonadota; Alphaproteobacteria; Hyphomicrobiales; Rhodobiaceae. The record is from RNAcentral.
UCAGAUGGCUGGAUGAUCGCACUUUUAUGUGAGGAAAGUCCGGGCUCCAAGAGACACAGUGCCGGGUAAUGCCCGGCGAGGGCGACCUCAGGGAAAGUGCCACAGAAAAUAUACCGCCAUUUUGGUAAGGGUGAAAAGGUGUGGUAAGAGCGCACCGCAAAUAUGGUAACAUAUUUGGCAAGGUAAACCCCACUGGGAGCAAAACCAAAUAGGAAUAGUGAUAUAAACGUCUCUUUUUAUACUAUUCGGGUAGGUUGCUAGAGAUUUAUGGCGACAUAAAUCCAAGAUGAAUGAUCAUCACCACUUUGUGGAUACAGAACCCGGCUUAUAAGCCAUCUGACAAA